This is a non-coding RNA of Carica papaya (papaya), 3852 nucleotides long. Lineage: Eukaryota; Viridiplantae; Streptophyta; Magnoliopsida; Brassicales; Caricaceae. The record is from RefSeq and is a predicted model, not a curated record.
UGCUUGUGUAUGCAAGAACUUCAAAGUGUAACCAUUUAGCUAAAUAGUGGUUAGUACAAAAGUAUCUAACUUGAAUUAAACAUAAAACUUAUUUAGAAUUGGAACAUUAUUUUCGUUUAGUCUCUAACAUACUUGUAUCUUACUUCAAUUCUUAUAUUUCAAUAGAAUUAAAAUUUGAACUAUUCACAACCUUAAUACAUUAUCAAAGUAAAAAGACAACAAAAUGGAGUCUCCACCGAAAUUUUUUAGGCAAUUACAGCUAGGGUAACACCAUGUGCAAUUCUAUGUUGAUUAAAUUUAGACAUUAUCCGGUUUCUUUUUUUCUCUCUAGUUUUGAUUCAUUUUAUAUGGCAAGCCAUUAUCAAAGACAGCAAUGAAAUGAGGCUGAAGCACUGCAAAGAUGCAUGAUACUAGGCAGCCUGCAGAUAAUGUUGGCUCAUGGAAUUGAAACAUGUCACGUUGAUGGACAUGGGAAAAUUUGUUGUCUGAGUAUUGGUCUUCGUAAUUAUCACAGAGAGAAAACACGACAUUGUGCAUCUAUUACUAGCAAUUGACACUAGGAGUGCUUUCUCCAAAUUUCUAUCAAGACCCUUUUGAAUCAAAGAAACUAUAUACUCCAUGAAGACUGCAUCGCAAGGCAAUACGAUUGGUCCUUCGCUUGGUAGACCAAAUUCUUUCUCAGACAUCUUAUUGAGUUCUGUAAUGAUAGGAUUGUUGAGAAAUGCUAUUGGGAAAAAAAAAAGUCUUUCAUCAGCUAUGUAAACAACAAUAUGGCCCUUAUCUGCCACAGAUGGUGCAUUGCCAGUUUCUUGUUUUGUGCCUUGACUAGCUCUUGGGAGUGAAAUUCUUUUCCUCUUUAGAGCUGCUACUCUGUGCCACUUCUUUGCCAUCUUCAUUAGUUUCUUUGUGCUGAUCAUCUUUUCUAGAGGAACUGAGCCAAAAAAAGAAAGAGGUGAAACUAUUCUUUUUUGAAUAAUGGAAUGUGAUUGUCCAUCUGAUGCAGAAUGCAACGGUGUGGGAUGAUUUAUAUACCGCCAGACCAUUGAAACAGUUAUUUUCAUGUGGGGUGACCUUUUGAGGGGUUAAUGGGUACACAGUCAUGUGAUAUGUGAUUAUAUGAAGUGGACAAAUUUGUGAAAGGUCAUAUAAUAUUGGAUAACUUACAUUUGUGGUUGUGCAUCCAUGAGCUCCUCACCCCACAUGGACCACUAUGUUUAGAUACUGAGAGAAUAUGAUUCAAAGGUGCAGUGUUUGGCUAGUUGGACAAUCAAUAAGGAAACUGUAUAGGAACACAAACCUGGAAUUAAUGGCCUACUGCAGGAGGUGUAGCAAUGCAUUAGGGCCCGGAAACUUAUCUCAAUGUUCUUCCAUCAGUAAAAUAAUUCAAAUACAGAUGUAUCAAUGUUGUAGAAAAACAUGCCAGCCAUAUUGUUUAACUGUUAGCAGUUGAGUUUUUUCUUGAACAGUGACUGCUGAAGUCAGAAAGUUAUGAUUGUUUUUUCCGUACUUUACUUUAGUUAGUAAGCGGCAGUUGAAAGGAAUGGUGAACCAUGUUUUGUAGCAAGAAAAUCAGCAACUCUUGCUUGUUUUGGUUAACAAAAUGAUGUGUAUUAGGUGAUGAUUUUGCUGACAGCUUAUAUUUGCUGUAGCAAAAUAUCUUCCUCUGAAAAUGGUAUAUAUAUGUAAGGCUGAUGAAUUACAAAAUGCAGAUUUCACAUUUCCACAAGUUGUCUCCUACUCUGCUGUAUUUUCUUCUGCAUUUACCUCUGCAUUUUUUUUCUGCUCUCUUUUUUCUCACUGCAGACUCCACACAUGCUGAUUUAAAUUUCUGCAUUUUCCUUUCUCUGUUUUUUGUAAUUACAAACACAAAAACAACAAGCUUUUGCCUCUAUCAAUGGUAUCAGAGUAGUAUUCGUUAAGGGUCUUAAGUUGUGAGUAAUUCAAAUGGCUUCAAAUGUUAACUUGCCAGCUCUACCAGUAUUUACAGGGGAGAAUUAUGAUUAUCGGGUAGUGAGAAUGGAAGCCUAUCUUCUUGCUUAUGAUUUGUGGAGCACUGUGGAGGAGGAGUAUGUAAGAGUUCCAUUACCUGAUAAUCCCACCUUACCACAGAUUAGGCAAGACACAGAAGGGUCCUUGAGGAUUUUCAAAUCUUUUUCAAUUCUUCAUUCUACAGUGUCUGAUGACAUAUUCCUAAGGCUGGUAGCCUUUCAAGACAGCCAAGAAAGCUUGAGAUUAUUUGAGGGAAAAAUAUUCUGGGAGUGCUAAAGUGAGAAGAGUAAGAUUGUUGACUCUGAAAAGAGAGUUUGAGUUGUUGAGAAUGCAGGAGGGAGAAAGUAUUAAAUAGUCUACAAGAGUUAUGAAUCUUGUUAAUCAAAUAAAGCUGCUUAGAGAAGAAAAAAGGAAAAUCAAUCCUCAACAAGUAAAGGAAAGCAGCCACAGAUUCAGAAGAUUCACCAGAAAAGGAAAGUGUCCUCCUUGUGGAAGUUGUGGUAAAUUCAAUCAUCCUGAGAGUAAGUGAUGGAAGCACGUACAAUGCAAGAUUUGCAAAAAGCAUGAUCAUUCAGAGAUUGUGUGCUGGAAGAGAAAAAAUUAAGCAUCACAGAAAAAAAACAGCAGCAACUACUUCAGCAACUGGAAGUCUAUUUAGCUGAGAACCAUGAACAGCAGUCUUUUCAUAAUGACUGAGGCAUCUUGUGUGAGUGGAAGUGAUUUUUGGUAUGUGGACAAUGGGUGCACAAGCCAUAUGGCCAAGGAUCGUAUGUUAUUUAGUAACUUGGAUGUUAAUUGUAGAACUAAAGUGAAACUUGACAAUGGAGCAGUUGUGGAAGCUCAAGAAAAAGACUCAAUACCAAUUCAAACUAAGAGAAUUUGAUGAUCCAACUGCAAAUACACUAGACAUAAAAAUCAAGUUAUUGGUAGAUGAUUAUGAAACGUGCAAUUUGGUCAUCAUUGAACCAACAAACUAUGAAGAGUCUACGACGUACAAGGAGUGACAGCUUGCCAUGCAUGAGGAGAUUUUCAUUAAACAACCUCAGGGGUUUGUAGUUGAUGGAAAAACUGACAUGGUAUACAAGUUGAAGAAGGUCUUAUAUGGCCUCAAGCAGGCAUCUAGGGUCUGGUAUACAAGGAUUGAUUCACAUAUGAUUAAUCUUGGUUUUCUAAGAAGUGAGACUGAGUCAACUCUUUAUGUGAAGAAUUAUCAAGAUAAAGAGCAGCUCAUUGUCUCGAUUUAUGUUGAUGAUUUGCUCAUUAAUGGUGGAAAUCAUCAACUGGUGCAGCAGUUUAAACAACAGAAGAUGAAAGAAUUUGCUAUGUAAUUGGAGAGAUUCCCUUGCAACAUGGUAGGACUAAGCAUAUAAAAGUUGAGUUUCAUUUCUUGCGCGAAGCUGAGAAGAACCAAGAGAUCUUUUUAGAGCAUUGUAGAUCAGAGGAACAAUUUGCUGAUAUCCUAACUAAAGCUUAGAGAUCCUGUUGGAGCAUUGUAGAUCAGAGGAACAACUUGCUGAUAUCCCAACUAAAGCUUUGCCCAGGGGACGGUUUAAAGACUUGAGAACCAAGCUUGGACUGUUCAAAGAAAACUCAAGGAAUAGUGUUAGCAGUUGAGUUUUUUCUUGAACAGUGACUACUGAAGUCAUAAAGUUAUGAUUGUUUUUUCUGUAUUUUGCUUUAGUUAGUAAGUGACAGUUGAAAGGAAUGGUAAAGCAUGUUUUGCAGCAAGAAAAUCAGCAACUCUUGCUUGUUUUGGUUAACAAAAUGAUGUGUAUUAGGAGAUGAUUUUGCUGGCAGCUUGCAUUUGCUGUAGCAAAAUAUCAGGCUCUGAAAAUGAUAUAUAUAUAUAUAUAUAUGUGUGUG